RNAcentral lists this transfer RNA (76 nucleotides) under Sediminispirochaeta sp. RNAcentral's name for it is "tRNA-Met". It matches the Rfam family "tRNA". From Rfam's summary of the family: Transfer RNA (tRNA) molecules are approximately 80 nucleotides in length. Lineage: Bacteria; Pseudomonadati; Spirochaetota; Spirochaetia; Spirochaetales; Spirochaetaceae. The record is from RNAcentral.
GGUGGCGUAGCUCAGUCGGUAGAGCAAACGGCUCAUAUCCGUUUUGUCAGGGGUUCAAGUCCCUUCGCCACUACCA